UGGGGAAUUUUGGACAAUGGGGGCAACCCUGAUCCAGCAACGCCGCGUGAAUGAAGAAGGCCUUAGGGUUGUAAAGUUCUUUUGUCUGGGAGCAAAGCGCUAUGGAUAAUACCUAUGGUGAAUGAGAGUACCAGAAGAAUAAGCACCGGCUAACUACGUGCCAGCAGCCGCGGUAAUACGUAGGGUGCGAGCGUUAAUCGGAAUUACUGGGCGUAAAGGGUGCGCAGGCGGAUAUGUAAGUUAGAUGUGAAAUCCCCGGGCUUAACCUGGGAACGGCAUUUAAGACUGCAUGUCUAGAGUUUGUCAGAGGGGGGUAGAAUUCCAAGUGUAGCAGUGAAAUGCGUAGAGAUUUGGAGGAAUACCGGUGGCGAAGGCGACCCCCUGGGAUAGAACUGACGCUCAGGCACGAAAGCGUGGGUAGCAAACAGG
This 429-nucleotide ribosomal RNA is filed under the name uncultured bacterium. RNAcentral describes it as "bacterial SSU rRNA". It matches the Rfam family "Bacterial small subunit ribosomal RNA", at positions 355 to 776 of the family's 1533-position model. The record is from RNAcentral.